UUCCUACGGGAGGCAGCAGUAGGGAAUAUUGCACAAUGGGGGAAACCCUGAUGCAGCGACGCCGCGUGGGCGAAGAAGUAUUUCGGUAUGUAAAGCCCUAUCAGCAGGGAAGAAGAAAUGACGGUACCUGAGUAAGAAGCACCGGCUAAAUACGUGCCAGCAGCCGCGGUAAUACGUAGGGGGCAAGCGUUAUCCGGAUUUACUGGGUGUAAAGGGGGCGCAGACGGCGAUGCAAGCUAGGAGUGAAAGCCCGGGGCCCAACCCCGGGACUGCUCUUGGAACUGCGUGGCUAGAGUGCAGGAGGG
RNAcentral lists this ribosomal RNA (305 nucleotides) under uncultured bacterium. RNAcentral describes it as "bacterial SSU rRNA". It matches the Rfam family "Bacterial small subunit ribosomal RNA", at positions 336 to 656 of the family's 1533-position model. The record is from RNAcentral.